UCCUACGGGAGGCAGCAGUGGGGAAUUUUGGACAAUGGGGGCAACCCUGAUCCAGCCAUGCCGCGUGAGUGAAGAAGGCCUUCGGGUUGUAAAGCUCUUUUGGCCGGAAAGAAAAGAUUUCGUCUAAUAAACGGAGUUCUUGACGGUACCGGCAGAAUAAGCACCGGCUAACUACGUGCCAGCACCCGCGGUAAUA
This 196-nucleotide ribosomal RNA is filed under the name uncultured bacterium. RNAcentral's name for it is "partial 16S ribosomal RNA". It matches the Rfam family "Bacterial small subunit ribosomal RNA", at positions 337 to 525 of the family's 1533-position model. The record is from RNAcentral.